RNAcentral lists this ribosomal RNA (1322 nucleotides) under metagenome. RNAcentral's name for it is "bacterial LSU rRNA". It matches the Rfam family "Bacterial large subunit ribosomal RNA", at positions 1610 to 2925 of the family's 2925-position model. The record is from RNAcentral.
UAGAAAUAAACUCUAGUCGUCGAUGGCGACCGUACCAAAACCGACACAGGUGGGUGGGAAGAAUAUUCUUAGGCGCGCGAGAGAACUCUCGUUAAGGAACUCGGCAAAUUAUCCCCGUAACUUCGGGAGAAGGGGAGCUGUUGAAGGUGAAGAUAUUAACUAUCUGAGCGUUUGGCAGCCGCAGAGAAAUGGCCCAGGCGACUGUUUAACAAAAACACAGCACUAUGCGAAGUCGUCUAAGACGAAGUAUAUGGUGUGAUGCCUGCCCAAUGCCAAAAGGUCAAAAGGAGAAGUUAGCACUUUGGUGCAAAGCUUUGAAUUUAAGCCCUGGUGAAUGGCGGCCGUAACAAUAACGGUCCUAAGGUAGCGAAAUUCCUUGUCGGGUAAGUUCCGACCUGCACGAAUGGUAUAACGAUCUGGGCACUGUCUCAACGAGAGACUCGGUGAAAUUGUAGUAGCGGUGCAGAUGCCGUUUACCCGCAAUAAGACGGAAAGACCCCGUGAACCUUUACUGUACUCUGAUAUUGGCUCUUGACUUGUCAUGUGUAGGAUAACUGGGAGACUAUGAAGUCCCUUCGUCAGGAGGGAUGGAGUCACCGUUGAAAUACCAGUCUUGACAAGUCGAGAAUCUAACGAACUCCCCUGAAACUGGGAUUCGGACAAUGUCAGACGGGCAGUUUUGCUGGGGCGGUAUCCUCCUAAAGAGUAACGGAGGAGUCCAAAGUUUGCCUCAUCGUGGUUGGCAAUCACGAGUAGAGCGUAAAGGUAUAAGGCAAAUUAACUGUGAUACCUACAAGUCGAACAGAGACGAAAGUCGGGCUUAGUGAUCCGGCGGUGGAAAGUGGAAUCGCCGUCGCUCAACGGAUAAAAGGUACUCCGGGGAUAACAGGCUUAUCGCCACCAAGAGUUCACAUCGACGUGGCGGUUUGGCACCUCGAUGUCGACUCAUCGCAUCCUGGGGCUGAAGAAGGUCCCAAGGGUUUGGCUGUUCGCCAAUUAAAGCGGUACGCGAGUUGGGUUCAAAACGUCGUGAGACAGUUUGGUCCCUAUCUUUUGUGGGCGCAGGAUACUUGAGAGGAGCUGCUUCUAGUACGAGAGGACCGAAGUGGACGAACCAAUGGUGUUCCGGUUGUUCUGCCAAGGGCAUAGCCGGGUAGCUACGUUCGGAAAGGAUAAGCGUUGAAAGCAUCUAAACGCCAAGCCUCCCUCAAGAUAAGGUAUCCCUUUUAGACACCAUGUAGACUACGUGGUAGAUAGGUUGGGUGUGUAAACACAGCGAUGUGGUAGCUAACCAAUACUAAUCAGUCGACAGGCUUGACCAC